This 500-nucleotide ribosomal RNA is filed under the name uncultured bacterium. RNAcentral's name for it is "partial 16S ribosomal RNA". It matches the Rfam family "Bacterial small subunit ribosomal RNA", at positions 30 to 523 of the family's 1533-position model. The record is from RNAcentral.
AUUGAACGCUGGCGGAAUGCUUUACACAUGCAAGUCGAACGGCAGCACGGACUUCGGUCUGGUGGCGAGUGGCGAACGGGUGAGUAAUAUAUCGGAACGUGCCCAGUCGUGGGGGAUAACGUAGCGAAAGCUACGCUAAUACCGCAUACGAUCUACGGAUGAAAGCGGGGGAUCGCAAGACCUCGCGCGAUUGGAGCGGCCGAUAUCAGAUUAGGUAGUUGGUGAGGUAAAGGCUCACCAAGCCGACGAUCUGUAGCUGGUCUGAGAGGACGACCAGCCACACUGGGACUGAGACACGGCCCAGACUCCUACGGGAGGCAGCAGUGGGGAAUUUUGGACAAUGGACGCAAGUCUGAUCCAGCCAUUCCGCGUGCAGGACGAAGGCCUUCGGGUUGUAAACUGCUUUUGUAUAGAACGAAAAGGUCUCUAUUAAUACUAGGGGCUCAUGACGGUACUGUAAGAAUAAGCACCGGCUAACUACGUGCCAGCAGCCGCCGUAA